ACCGCCGGGGGCCAUGGACGGAGCAGUGAUGGAAGGGCCGCUCUUUUUGCAGAGUCAGCGCUUUGGGACCAAGAGGUGGAGGAAGACCUGGGCCGUGCUCUACCCGGCCAGUCCCCACGGCGUAGCGCGGCUCGAGUUCUUUGACCAUAAGGGGUCGAGCUCUGGGGGUGGCCGAGGGAGCUCGCGCCGCCUGGACUGCAAAGAUCCCAAUUCUGGGUAACGGUGCAGAGGACUGAGGCCGCCGAGCGCUGUGGCCUGCAUGGCUCCUACGUGCUGAGGGUGGAGGCUGAAAGGCUGACUCUCCUGACCGUGGGGGCCCAGAGUCAGAUACUGGAGCCACUCCUGUCCUGGCCCUACACUCUGUUGCGUCGCUAUGGCCGGGACAAGGUCAUGUUCUCUUUCGAGGCCGGCCGCCGCUGCCCCUCAGGCCCUGGAACCUUCACCUUCCAGACGGCACAGGGAAAUGACAUCUUCCAGGCAGUUGAGACUGCCAUCCACCGGCAGAAGGCCCAGGGAAAGGCCGGACAGGGGCACGAUGUUCUCAGAGCUGACUCCCAAGAAGGGGAGGUGGCAGAGGGGAAGUUGCCUUCCCCACCUGGCCCCCAGGAGCUCCUCGACAGUCCCCCAGCCCUGUAUGCUGAGCCCUUAGACUCCCUGCGCAUUGCUCCAUGCCCUUCCCAGGACUCCCUAUACUCAGACCCCUUGGACAGCACGUCUGCUCAGGCAGGAGAGGGAGUACAACGGAAGAAACCUCUCUAUUGGGACUUGUAUGAGCAUGCGCAGCAGCAGUUGCUGAAGGCCAAGCUGACAGACCCCAAAGAGGACCCCAUCUAUGAUGAACCUGAGGGCCUGGCCC
RNAcentral lists this small RNA (856 nucleotides) under Pan troglodytes (chimpanzee). Its description in RNAcentral is "processed transcript". Lineage: Eukaryota; Metazoa; Chordata; Mammalia; Primates; Hominidae. The record is from RNAcentral.